RNAcentral lists this ribosomal RNA (1186 nucleotides) under Streptococcus pneumoniae SPN021198. RNAcentral describes it as "bacterial LSU rRNA". It matches the Rfam family "Bacterial large subunit ribosomal RNA", at positions 888 to 2093 of the family's 2925-position model. Lineage: Bacteria; Bacillati; Bacillota; Bacilli; Lactobacillales; Streptococcaceae. The record is from RNAcentral.
UAGAGAUUUUGGAGGGAGAGCCCUGUUGGGGGGGGGGGCCACCCCGGAUUACAAAUUCGGAGAACUCGGAAAUCCAAAAAAAAGGGUCGCCAGUCAAAUGGGAGGGGUUAAAAUCCGUAGUUGAAAGGGAAACAGCCCCGGCCCCCAGUAAGGUUCCCAAAUAAUUUGUAAGUGGAAAAGGAUGUGGGGUUGCACAGACAACUAGGAUGUUAGCUUAGAAGCAGCUAUUCAUUCAAAGAGUGCGUAAUAGCUCACUAGUGGAAUGACCCUGCGCCGAAAAUGUACCGGGGCUAAAACAAUUUACCGAAGCUGUGGAUACCUUNAUAGGUAUGGUAGGAGAGCGUUCUAUGUGUGAUGAAGGUAUACCGUGAGGAGUGCUGGAACGCAUAGAAGUGAGAAUGCCGGUAUGAGUAGCGAAAGACAGGUGAGAAUCCUGUCCACCGUAAGACUAAGGUUUCCAGGGGAAGGCUCGUCCGCCCUGGGUUAGUCGGGACCUAAGGAGAGACCGAAAGGUGUAUCCGAUGGACAACAGGUUGAUAUUCCUGUACUAGAGUAUGUAGUGAUGGAGGGACGCAGUAGGCUAACUAAAGCAGACGAUUGGAAGAGUCUGUCUAAGCAGUGAGGUGUGAAUUGAGUCAAAUGCUUAAUUCUAUAACAUUGAGCUGUGAUGGGGAGCGAAGUUUAGUAGCGAAGUUAGUGACGUCACACUGCCAAGAAAAGCUUCUAGCGUUUAAACAUACUCUACCCGUACCGCAAACCGACACAGGUAGUCGAGGCGAGUAGCCUCAGGUGAGCGAGAGAACUCUCGUUAAGGAACUCGGCAAAAUGACCCCGUAACUUCGGGAGAAGGGGUGCUGACUUAAAGUCAGCCGCAGUGAAUAGGCCCAAGCAACUGUUUAUCAAAAACACAGCUCUCUGCUAAAUCGUAAGAUGAUGUAUAGGGGGUGACGCCUGCCCGGUGCUGGAAGGUUAAGAGGAGUGCUUAGCGUAAGCGAAGGUAUGAAUUGAAGCCCCAGUAAACGGCGGCCGUAACUAUAACGGUCCUAAGGUAGCGAAAUUCCUUGUCGGGUAAGUUCCGACCCGCACGAAAGGCGUAAUGAUUUGGGCACUGUCUCAACGAGAGACUCGGUGAAAUUUUAGUACCUGUGAAGAUGCAGGUUACCCGCGACAGGACGGAAAGACCCCA